AGUUCCGGACAUGAGCUUACUG
This 22-nucleotide microRNA is filed under the name Panagrellus redivivus. RNAcentral describes it as "prd-miR-7873a-5p". The record is from miRBase by way of RNAcentral. Lineage: Eukaryota; Metazoa; Nematoda; Chromadorea; Rhabditida; Panagrolaimidae.